AACGCGAAGAACCUUACCAAGUCUUGACAUCCCUCUGAAUCCAUUAGAGAUAGUGGCGGCCUUCGGGACAGAGGAGACAGGUGGUGCAUGGUUGUCGUCAGCUCGUGUCGUGAGAUGUUGGGUUAAGUCCCGCAACGAGCGCAACCCUUGAUUUUAGUUGCCAGCAGGUGAAGCUGGGCACUCUAGAAUGACUGCCGGUGACAAACCGGAGGAAGGCGGGGAUGACGUCAAAUCAUCAUGCCCCUUAUGACUUGGGCUACACACGUACUACAAUGGUCGAUACAACGGGAAGCGAAAGAGCGAUCUGGAGCCAAUCCUAUCAAAGUCGAUCUCAGUUCGGAUUGCAGGCUGCAACCCGCCUGCAUGAAGUCGGAAUUGCUAGUAAUCGCGGAUCAGCAUGCCGCGGUGAAUACGUUCCCGGGCCUUGUACACACCGCUACAGU
RNAcentral lists this ribosomal RNA (443 nucleotides) under uncultured bacterium. RNAcentral describes it as "bacterial SSU rRNA". It matches the Rfam family "Bacterial small subunit ribosomal RNA", at positions 958 to 1401 of the family's 1533-position model. The record is from RNAcentral.